UCUUACCGGAUUCCAUCCCACUUCUUACCGGAUUCCAUCAUCCCACUUCUUACCGGAUUCCAUCAUCCCACUUCUUACCGGAUUCCAUCCCACUUCUUACCGGAUUCCAUCAUCCCACUUCUUACCGGAUUCCAUCAUCCCACUUCUUACCGGAUUCCAUCAUCCCACUUCUUACCGGAUUCCAUCAUCCCACUUCUUACCGGAUUCCAUCAUCUCACUUCUUACGGAUUCCAUCAUCCCACAUCUUACCGGAUUCCAUCAUCCCACUUCUUACCGGAUUCCAUCAUCUCACUUCUUACUGGAUUCCAUCUGCUUACCGGAUUCCAUCAUCCUAACCGUCUAGAAUCCAACAGGGGAAGCCAUUUUGUUUCUAUGGUGAUUUAGGUGUUCUGUAAAACCCUAUAAACACCUGUAACUUGCCAUAUUCUCCAUCAUCCCCAGGCUUCUGGACAGUUGAAAUGAUUAAAUCCUACCCUAAAUAAUUCUUUGGUUGAUUUAUAUCGGGCCAAAGGCUUACGGUGGCCCAGAAUGUUGCUGUUGGUUCUAUUGAAAUGAGGUCACCUCCUAGCACACAUGCUAUUUUUUCCAAGUCAAUGUUUGGAGAUCGAUGAAUUUAAAAUUUAAGCCCACUCCUUACCUGAUACAGCAGAAAAUGCUCGUGAUCAGAUACAGGGAGUCUGCUUGUUUUCCCAGGCUCACGGUGCCAUCAUGUGGCAGGAUUGGAAAGUCCCCUGAGGGCACAGUCUGGACGGUCACUGUGCUAAGAUGAACCCUGCGAGGCGGUGCUGACGACGCCACGACCGUCGGAGUGAAGGAGAGUCGCCGGUCUGCCCGCGAGGUUGGCACCUGUGACGGAGCGGCUACACCUCCCUCAGGGACCUCAAGGCUAAGCUCUCCAGACAAGGUUACUGUCUGCACCGAGGACCAAGUCAGAUUUUGGAUUGAACCCCACACAGACGUCAGUAUUAAGGGAGCCCACGGACUGUCUGAACACAGGUGAGCAGGUGGCCGGGUGUACUGGCAAUGCCACGUUUACCCAACAGCAGCGAUCCAGCUCCAGAUUCUGGUGUUCAAAUUCCAGCUCUACCGCUCAAAGCUGCGUCAUUCUGAAAGCUGUGCUUAACUCACCAUCAUCUGUAAAAGAGGGAUAAUGACUAAAUGCGUUACGAUGAGGAGGAAAUGGGGUGAUACUUGUAAGGGACUAAGAACAGGACUUAGUAUGCAUUAUGUGUUAUCUUAGCCCCGAACCUGAACCACGGUGUUACUCCUGAUCUGGUGCAUCAGGUAACUAUUAACUGUGAAAAGUAUAAGAGAGAAUUGCUUCUUGGC
RNAcentral lists this long non-coding RNA (1329 nucleotides) under Equus caballus (horse). RNAcentral's name for it is "lncRNA (ENSECAG00000056024.1)". Lineage: Eukaryota; Metazoa; Chordata; Mammalia; Perissodactyla; Equidae. The record is from RNAcentral.